CAUAGACAACCCCCGAAAAACAUACAGAUACACACUGUAAAAGAACUGCUGCAACUUCACCGGACAAAAGGGAAUUUAAGUUAGCCAGGCUACCAUGGCACCAGACCUGACGGAUGUUGUCUAUAAAGGCUUGAGCGGGAUGCUCACAAGAAAGUUGGUCGAUGAAAAGGUUGCAGGUUGAGAGCAGCAGCGAUAUCACGCGACGAGGACAUCAUGGAGCCAUCCACCGAUCUCGCCGCCGACGUCUCCAACUCUGCCUCUACUGUGGGUCCCCCGACCACCGUAUCGCCCGGUGCCCUGUCAGACCAACAUGCCGCCCUGGAUUGCUGCCCGACAUUGUGAAGGAAAGCCAGCCGGUAUCGUCAUAGGAUCGACAUCUCCAGAGAGAUCGAUCCACUACCUCUGCCUACCCGGUUCAAGGAACAUUAAACCAGACGCACUCUCCAGAGUGUUUGGCCUGGCUGAAGUAGAAGGGAUGCCCUAGACCAUUGUACCUGCAGCCAGAGUGCUUGGAGCCCUCCAGUGGGAUGUAGAGAGGAAGGUGUCCGAGGAAACUGUGGGAGCAGAGCUACCUGAGGGGUGUCUGGCGGACAAGCUAUUUGUGCCACCGGAACUGAGAUCUGAAGUGCUGCAGUGGGCUCACACAUCCAAGGUGGCCUGUCACCCGGGAGUCCAACGCACCCAUUUUUUGGUGGGCCAGAGGUUCUGGUGGCCAUCUGUCGCCUGAUCGAUGGUCUGCCAGUUUAUAUGGUAAGAGCCAUUUUAGACUUGAGAAGAAGAGGGAGGGGGGUGCAGUAUCUGGUUGACUGGGAGGCAUAUGGAUGUGAGGAGCGCUCCUGGGUGUCCCGCUCCUGUAUCGUCGACCCAUCACUCAUCUGUGACUUCCAUUCGCUCCAUCCUAACAACCCAGGUAUGCCACCAGUGGGCGCCUUAAAAGGAGGGGGAUACUGUCAUACUGUCAGUUGUCGUGCUGCGUUGCUGCCCUCUCUCUGCCAUCUGUUGCAGCACACCUUCCACUGGCACAGGAGGAGCUCAUUACGCACCUGCAUCCAAUUAUCAGCUGAACUACUUAAUGCCACGCGGUUGCUCAUACCUGUCCCAGAUUGUCUUCCCAUCCAUGCUUGCGUCAUGCUUCUCCCUGCCUUGUAUUUUGUACCUUGUAUCCUAGCUUUCUGGUCACACCUGCUAACUUGUGACUACCUGUAUUUUUCCCUGUUUGGCCUACUCCAGCAGUGGUUUUCUGUUUUACCUCUGUGUAGUACUUCCUGCUGGCUAUUCAGCACUGCCUGUUGUUGCAGCGAUCAAGUCUGGUAUGUGUCUCACCAAACUGCCUGCCAGCUACUUUUAAAAUGACCAAGUCCCAAAGAUCUACCUCCGACUAUAAAUAUACAGUAGAAUAUAUGUUUAUUUACUAUAUCUGUUAAAAAAAAAUAUGAGCACGUAUUUAUGUACGUUAUACAUGUAUAUCAGGGAUGCACGCACUUUUUCAGCAUGCAAGUUACAAGUCAGAAUGAUCUACCUAUAAAACAUAACAUACUGUAUAUAAAAUCUAUCCGGUAAACUUUGAAAUACUAUUGUAAAUAUUAAUUAGUAUUUCAC
Dunckerocampus dactyliophorus (ringed pipefish) is the source of this 1599-nucleotide long non-coding RNA. RefSeq lists it as uncharacterized. The record is from RefSeq and is a predicted model, not a curated record. Lineage: Eukaryota; Metazoa; Chordata; Actinopteri; Syngnathiformes; Syngnathidae. The transcript is spliced from 3 exons.